Neotoma lepida (desert woodrat) is the source of this 70-nucleotide non-coding RNA. Lineage: Eukaryota; Metazoa; Chordata; Mammalia; Rodentia; Cricetidae. The record is from Rfam.
GGAGAGAUGGCUCAGUGGUUAAGAGCACUGGCUGCUUUCCCAGAGGACCUGGGUUCAAUUCCCAGCACCC